CAAUGAUGGAGAAAAGAACCACCCCCCCUUUUUUUUAACCUCCUGCAAAGCUGUCUGGCUAAUCCCUAGAAUUCUACCAGGAAGGAAGGUUCCUGUAGCUGCUGAUGGAGCACAGCAGGGGACAGCCAGGGGACAACCACCCGGCAGAGCUGCCCAGGUGCACUUGAAACAGGGCACCGAGCCCGUCUGCAGGGGUGCUGCCGGUGAGUGUCCUGCAUUCAUUGUGAGGCCAGGCUGUGAAGACAAAUUGACCAUCGUGACCUUCUGCCUUCUGCCAGGAAGGCGGCACCAGCCUCCGAGCUCCGGGUCUUAUAUCUGACCUCAACGCAGAGAAGCAGAGAGAAAACCCCACCUGGAAGAUGUCUUCCCUAUUCGAGAAGGAAGAGACCCAGUGAAGACAAGGACACGGUGCGGACACUGUUCUGGGCAAAAGGAACCAUAAGGUGAGCGCACAGAGGACAGAAAGAGCUCAAGCCCAGCUGGGUUUGCCACAAGCUGGCUUACGGCAAAGGGAGCCGUGUCACCUUCCAGAAAGCCUGGGAAGCUUAGCAAGCUGCAGGCAGACAGACAUCAGGCAGGAGCUGAAAUGAAGUCCCCAGGGCUGAUUCUCUUCUCCUUCCAGUAGGUUCUCUAUUACCAGCAUGCUCGCCUUCAGGGUCGCCAAGAAAUAAGCCUAGCGAGUCUCCAAUUCCCAGAGUUCCAGGCCGAUGGAAGCCGCUGGAAACCCUCCCUCCCUUCCUUCCCUCAAGGGCCACUCCCAGGGGACAGGCAGCAGACCACCUCCAGCUGAACCCAUUACUGUGUUCGCCGUCUUGGGUCUGGAUCAUAAGCUGGAUCUCCAAAGCCGUGGAUGGAGCCCCGUCCAGGCCAGAGAGAGCCAGCCCGUGGGAGGGGUGGGUUCCCCGUGUCAUAAUGGAGGGCGGUUGCUGGGGAAAGAAGUCUAGACGCUUCCAGAAAUGAGAGGAGGUCGUUGUAAGUGAAGCGACGUGAGCAAAUGGUCCAGUGAGCCUGGAGAGGUCCGUCGGAGACCCGGGAGGACCACGAUUACAGCCAAGGAGUGAAUAUUCUCUGCUGGAGAUUUAACCAAUCAGUAGCCUUGGGUCGGUAUUUACAAUGCUCUCCUCUACCAGAGGCGCCAUCUACGUAACGAAAAGGAACACAGGACUCACUCGCCCACCUUUGGUAACAGCUGGGGUUUUGCACACGCAUGAGGUGGCCAUCACGUGCAGUGGCACGGCCAGAUCCAAGUCUCCUGGCUCCGUGUCUAAAACGCGCUGCGGAUCAGGGCUGUGAUUUUCAGUGAAAUCUGGACACUCUGACGGGCGUUGUGUUUGGGCGGCUCUCUUGAAGGGAUUCCGCUACGUGCAGAACUAUGACACCUUUGCUUCGGUCCCUUCAGAACCAUGCUGUUGCUUGAGGAGACCUGUGCAUUCCCUUGGAUGCCCUCUUUUGAACACUGGAGUCCAAAUUCUUCGUGUUUGCGAAUAAGCAGCAUUCUUGGGUGCUGCCCUGAUGGCACAGGCCAGGCCUCGCCUGCUCCGCCCCAGGUGGAGGGCUCGCUGGGCUCACCGUCCAGUCACGCUGGUGCCUCUAAGCCCGUGUGUCUGCAGUUCUUUCAAAAAUAAACGCUGCCUACAGACGGAAUCUGACAGCCGUGCCGUGAGGGCUUUGGGAAGUAGGCGUGAUUUGUGAAAUCCCACCUGAGAACCUCGAACAUCAAAGGAGGGAUGGCUGGCCAAGUGUGUGGGGUUUUCGUGAACCAGCUCCGGGUUCAGAGGCAGAGCGACCUGGGGUGACUUUUCCAACACCCCUGAGCCCGGGCGCUGAAAGCAUCUACCCCAUGAGGUUGUGUGAUGAAUAAACGAGGCAAGGCACAUGCGACGUCAGCAGAAUGUCAGGCGACUCAUAGUGGUGAAAAAGCGAUUGCGCCGAUGUAGUUGUACUUUGUUGUCCACUUCUGGCUACUGGCAAAGGCCGUAGCGGUCCCCGCUCAUGUUCAGGAUCAUCUGAAUACGCUUCGCGGUGGAAACAAACAGUUAAUACUUGCCCACGUCCAACAGAUUUCCUACCGCAUUGGAACUGGGGGAGGGGGGACCCACUAAGGUCCGAAAUUCAAACAGCUUUUUCCCUAGUGUACAAUUUGGUUUCUAUCUAUAUUAGAAGCAAAGGUGUCAUAGUUUUCUUAGCCACUAUUUGGGGAAACUUCAGGGGAAAACAUCACG
Acinonyx jubatus (cheetah) is the source of this 2222-nucleotide long non-coding RNA. RefSeq lists it as uncharacterized. The record is from RefSeq and is a predicted model, not a curated record. The transcript has 4 exons. NCBI's taxonomy places the organism in Eukaryota, Metazoa, Chordata, Mammalia, Carnivora, Felidae.